Molecule: long non-coding RNA, 153 nt
Organism: Xenia sp. Carnegie-2017
Lineage: Eukaryota; Metazoa; Cnidaria; Anthozoa; Malacalcyonacea; Xeniidae
Exons: 3
Source: RefSeq, a predicted model, not a curated record
UCUUUUUGAGUUAACUGUUGUCAAUAAUUGGCAUGUUAUUAUGGAAGGUUUUGCACAAGCUACAACGGAAUGGAGUCGCAUAUUUUUCAUGAUAUUUUACAUCGUUAUUUUGGCUGUAAUGACGAUCGUUGUUGCGAUUAUCCUGGAUGCAUU